GGGGGCGAUAAGGCUUCGACAGGGGUGACGGAGGCGAGGUUGCGGGCCGAGUUCCAGACACUCGUUAAACGCUGGAAACCAAACCAAACGCCGAUUCUGAACUGGCGUUGGCUGCCUAAAACAGCCUCGUCCCCCGGGUGGGGCCCGCUCCCCCGGGAUGGACGUUGCAAGCGGGAUAGCUUCCCGGCCGGGUUCCCGACGGCGGGGUCGCGAAACAUUUCUGGGAAUGGCGACGGCGAGGCCGCCUGCGGGCCGGACCGCCGCGAGAAAUAAACCGCGGGACACGCCCGUAGACGAUCGCGUCAAAGCUCCUCUGGACGCGGGUUCGAUUCCCGCCGCCUCCACUU
Molecule: transfer-messenger RNA, 347 nt
Filed under: Actinomycetota (actinobacteria)
Lineage: Bacteria; Bacillati
Also listed under: 1 other name
Description: JAHJCO01 sp018831265 Standard tmRNA
Rfam family: transfer-messenger RNA
About the family: Bacterial tmRNA, also known as 10Sa RNA or SsrA, is named for its dual tRNA and mRNA-like properties. Its role is to liberate the mRNA from a stalled ribosome. To accomplish this part of the tmRNA is used as a reading frame that ends in a translation stop signal.
Source: RNAcentral